RNAcentral lists this ribosomal RNA (432 nucleotides) under uncultured bacterium. RNAcentral describes it as "partial 16S ribosomal RNA". It matches the Rfam family "Bacterial small subunit ribosomal RNA", at positions 29 to 506 of the family's 1533-position model. The record is from RNAcentral.
AGCGAACGCUGGCGGCAGGCCUAACACAUGCAAGUCGAACGAACUCUUCGGAGUUAGUGGCGGACGGGUGAGUAACACGUGGGAACGUGCCUUUUGGUUCGGAAUAACUCAGGGAAACUUGUGCUAAUACCGAAUGUGCCCUUCGGGGGAAAGAUUUAUCGCCAUUAGAGCGGCCCGCGUCUGAUUAGCUAGUUGGUGAGGUAACGGCUCACCAAGGCGACGAUCAGUAGCUGGUCUGAGAGGAUGACCAGACACACUGGGACUGAGACACGGCCCAGACUCCUACGGGAGGCAGCAGUGGGGAAUAUUGCGCAAUGGGCGAAAGCCUGACGCAGCCAUGCCGCGUGAAUGAUGAAGGUCUUAGGAUUGUAAAAUUCUUUCACCGGGGACGAUAAUGACGGUACCCGGAGAAGAAGCCCCGGCGAACUUCGU